Molecule: ribosomal RNA, 491 nt
Filed under: uncultured bacterium
Lineage: Bacteria
Description: partial 16S ribosomal RNA
Rfam family: Bacterial small subunit ribosomal RNA
Source: RNAcentral
AGUGAACGCUGGCGGUAGGCCUAACACAUGCAAGUCGAACGGCAGCACAGUAAGAGCUUGCUCUUACGGGUGGCGAGUGGCGGACGGGUGAGGAAUACAUCGGAAUCUACUUUUUCGUGGGGGAUAACGUAGGGAAACUUACGCUAAUACCGCAUACGACCUACGGGUGAAAGCAGGGGAUCUUCGGACCUUGCGCGAUUGAAUGAGCCGAUGUCGGAUUAGCUAGUUGGCGGGGUAAAGGCCCACCAAGGCGACGAUCCGUAGCUGGGCUGAGAGGAUGAUCAGCCACACUGGAACUGAGACACGGUCCAGACUCCUACGGGAGGCAGCAGUGGGGAAUAUUGGACAAUGGGCGCAAGCCUGAGCCAGCCAUACCGCGUGGGUGAAGAAGGCCUUCGGGUUGUAAAGCCCUUUUGUUGGGAAAGAAAAGCAGCAGGUUAAUACCCCGCUGUUCUGACGGUACCAAAAGAAUAAGCACCGGCUAACUUCGU